RNAcentral lists this transfer RNA (87 nucleotides) under Gracilibacteraceae bacterium. Its description in RNAcentral is "tRNA-Leu". It matches the Rfam family "tRNA". Rfam says of the family: Transfer RNA (tRNA) molecules are approximately 80 nucleotides in length. Their secondary structure includes four short double-helical elements and three loops (D, anti-codon, and T loops). Lineage: Bacteria; Bacillati; Bacillota; Clostridia; Eubacteriales; Gracilibacteraceae. The record is from RNAcentral.
GCGCCCGUGGCGGAACUGGCAGACGCGUACGGUUCAGGUCCGUAUUUUCGUAAGGAAGUGGAGGUUCAAGUCCUCUCGGGCGCACCA